UCACACUACCAACAUCAACCUCAUCCCACUUUCUCCUCGAACUCUUACCAUCAUGCCCACCCUUCUCCCUACCACCACCACCACCCUCACCCUUACCAUCCUCUUUACUCACCACACUCUCAUGAAACUCACCGUCACCACCCCCGCGCUUCCUCGCGGCCUUAUCGUCCAAUUCCCCAUCCUCAUACCAACUGCUCAACUUCUC
Molecule: unclassified non-coding RNA, 205 nt
Filed under: uncultured bacterium
Lineage: Bacteria
Description: contains 16S-23S intergenic spacer region
Source: RNAcentral